This 249-nucleotide ribosomal RNA is filed under the name uncultured bacterium. Its description in RNAcentral is "partial 16S ribosomal RNA". It matches the Rfam family "Bacterial small subunit ribosomal RNA", at positions 524 to 776 of the family's 1533-position model. The record is from RNAcentral.
GACAGAGGAUGCAAGCGUUAUCCGGAAUGAUUGGGCGUAAAGCGUCUGUAGGUGGCUUUUAAGUCCGCCGUCAAAUCCCAGGGCUCAACCCUGGACAGGCGGUGGAAACUACCAAGCUGGAGUACGGUAGGGCAGAGGGAAUUUCCGGUGGAGCGGUGAAAUGCGUAGAGAUCGGAAAGAACACCAACGGCGAAGCACUCUGCUGGCCGACACUGACACUGAGAGACGAAAGCUAGGGGAGCGAAUGGG